Equus caballus (horse) is the source of this 1053-nucleotide non-coding RNA. NCBI's taxonomy places the organism in Eukaryota, Metazoa, Chordata, Mammalia, Perissodactyla, Equidae. The record is from RefSeq and is a predicted model, not a curated record.
UGAAAAAAAUGUACUUUUGAAAUAGUGACAAAUUACUAAGUAAAAAGUAAGUAUCUGAACAUAGACAUUCACAGUGACUUGCAAGCUCUCCUCCCCACUCUUCUCCCUUUAAACACACACAUUCACACACACAUUCCUGAGUUCUAAGUCCAUCUAGCAAACAAGCAAAGUUACCCCAGCCCCAACAUUCAGAUUAAGUGUUUUAAAUUUGCCAACUUGAUUCUUGAGUAUGCUUCAAAUAUCUGAAUUUAUAAAAAUAAAAGCUUUGAAUUAAUUAACUAGGAACAUUUACUAGAACAGCCAGCCAUCUCUGGGUGAAAGAAAGGAGAGACUAAAAUUUAAAGAUUAUUUGUUAAACUGCUUCCAAUUUGAGAGAACAUUCCUCAGUAUUUACUUGAGUCAAAAGGAAUUUCUAAGAAGAAAAAAACACCCCAUGGAAGCGAUUUAUUUAUUUACAUACAUUUAACAUGUAGAUGUUUCUUCAAAUAGCUAGAGCUCCUCCAGAUAGAAACACAAUGCCUCUCUUAGCUCCCCAGGAGCACUCAUUGUUACCCUAAUCUAUGCCAUCAAACAAGCAGAUGGGGGAUUUUUUUUUUAAAGAGGAGGAUAUCUUGUGGUAAUGGUUUUAGCUGUUAACAUUGACAUCUGUAUACUUCAAAAAAAAAAAAGUAUCCAGACCCACCCAGGAUCAUACACUCCCUGGGAGCUGAUACAUUAGAAUAACAAAAGGCUCUUGUAAUGAUUCUCUGAGAUAAAAAGGCAAAAGGAAUUCAGGGGUUAAGAUUAGUAUAAAUACAAGUGCCUGAGGUCCUUGCCUUUUAACCUUCAAGAGGAGAACAGGACUCUUUGGAAAAUAUGAUCCAGGAAGGUUAAGAAAAUCUCUUCCAAAGGUUCUGGACCUACCUCAAUAGCUUUUGCUGCUUGUUCUUUUGUUUCAAAUUCCACAAAGGCAAAUCCCUUUGGAUCUCCAGUAGACUUAUAAUGUGGUAUACUUAUAUAAACAACAUUGCCACAUUUCCCAAAAACUCUCUCAAUCCAGCUGUGAUUAACGUU